ACAUCCAGAGAACUUUCCAGAGAUGGAUUGGUGCCUUCGGGAACUCUGAGACAGGUGCUGCAUGGCUGUCGUCAGCUCGUGUUGUGAAAUGUUGGGUUAAGUCCCGCAACGAGCGCAACCCUUAUCCUUUGUUGCCAGCGGUUAGGCCGGGAACUCAAAGGAGACUGCCAGUGAUAAACUGGAGGAAGGUGGGGAUGACGUCAAGUCAUCAUGGCCCUUACGAGUAGGGCUACACACGUGCUACAAUGGCGCAUACAAAGAGAAGCGACCUCGCGAGAGCAAGCGGACCUCAUAAAGUGCGUCGUAGUCCGGAUUGGGGUCUGCAACUCGACUCCAUGAAGUCGGAAUCGCUAGUAAUCGUGGAUCAGAAUGCCACGGUGAAUACGUUCCCGGGCCUUGUACACACCGCCCGUCACACCAUGGGAGUGGGUUGCAAAAGAAGUAGGUAGCUUAACCUUCGGGAGGGCGCUUACCACUUUGUGAUUCAUGACUGGGGUGAAGUCGUAACAAGGUAGGCGUAGUGCU
Molecule: ribosomal RNA, 525 nt
Filed under: uncultured bacterium
Lineage: Bacteria
Description: bacterial SSU rRNA
Rfam family: Bacterial small subunit ribosomal RNA
Source: RNAcentral